UGGGGAAUAUUGGACAAUGGGCGCAAGCCUGAUCCAGCCAUGCCGCGUGAGUGAUGAAGGCCUUAGGGUUGUAAAGCUCUUUCUCCGGUGAAGAUAAUGACGGUAACCGGAGAAGAAGCCCCGGCUAACUUCGUGCCAGCAGCCGCGGUAAUACGAAGGGGGCUAGCGUUGCUCGGAAUCACUGGGCGUAAAGCGCACGUAGGCGGAUCGUUAAGUCAGGGGUGAAAUCCUGGAGCUCAACUCCAGAACUGCCCUUGAUACUGGCGAUCUCGAGUUCGAGAGAGGUUGGUGGAACUCCGAGUGUAGAGGUGAAAUUCGUAGAUAUUCGGAAGAACACCAGUGGCGAAGGCGGCCAACUGGCUCGAUACUGACGCUGAGGUGCGAAAGCGUGGGGAGCAAAACAGGAUUAGAUACCCUGGUAGUCCACGCCGUAAAACGAUGGAUGCUAGCCGUUGGGGGGUUUGACCUCUCAGUGGCGCAGCUAACGCCUUAAGCAUCCCGCCUGGGGAGUACGGUCGCAAGAUUAAAAACUCAAAAUGAAUUGACGGGGUCAUAGCUG
Molecule: ribosomal RNA, 559 nt
Filed under: uncultured bacterium
Lineage: Bacteria
Description: partial 16S ribosomal RNA
Rfam family: Bacterial small subunit ribosomal RNA
Source: RNAcentral